This 453-nucleotide ribosomal RNA is filed under the name Acanthamoeba sp. 457ZAH. RNAcentral's name for it is "SSU rRNA". It matches the Rfam family "Eukaryotic small subunit ribosomal RNA", at positions 740 to 1095 of the family's 1831-position model. Lineage: Eukaryota; Discosea; Longamoebia; Acanthamoebidae. RNAcentral also lists the same sequence under 1 other name. The record is from RNAcentral.
GGCCCAGAUCGUUUACCGUGAAAAAAUUAGAGUGUUCAAAGCAGGCAGAUCCAAUUUUCUGCCACCGAAUACAUUAGCAUGGGAUAAUGGAAUAGGACCCUGUCCUCCUAUUUUCAGUUGGUUUUGCACGCGAGGACCAGGGUAAUGAUUAAUAGGGAUAGUUGGGGGCAUUAAUAUUUAAUUGUCAGAGGUGAAAUUCUUGGAUUUAUGAAAGAUUAACUUCUGCGAAAGCAUCUGCCAAGGAUGUUUUCAUUAAUCAAGAACGAAAGUUAGGGGAUCGAAGACGAUCAGAUACCGUCGUAGUCUUAACCAUAAACGAUGCCGACCAGCGAUUAGGAGACGUUGAAUACAAAACACCACCAUCGGCGCGGUCGUUCCUGGCGUCGCGCAAGCGGCGCGGGAGCGGCUUAGCCCGAUGGCACCGGUGAAUGACUCCCCUAGCAGCUUGUGAGA